UACAGAGGUCUCAAGCGUUGUUCGGAUUCAUUGGGCGUAAAGGGCGCGUAGGUGGUUCUGUAUGUCUACCGUGAAAGCGUACGGCUCAACCGUAUUUUGUCGGUAGAAACUGCAGGACUUGAGGCUGGGAGGGGCUGGUGGAAUUCCCUGUGUAGCGGUGAAAUGCGUAGAGAUAGGGGAGAACACUCGUGGCGAAGGCGGCCAGCUAGACCAGUUCUGACACUGAGGCGCGACAGCGUGGGGAGCAAACAGG
Molecule: ribosomal RNA, 253 nt
Filed under: uncultured bacterium
Lineage: Bacteria
Description: partial 16S ribosomal RNA
Rfam family: Bacterial small subunit ribosomal RNA
Source: RNAcentral